RNAcentral lists this long non-coding RNA (411 nucleotides) under Homo sapiens (human). Its description in RNAcentral is "non-protein coding lnc-SULF2-11:3". The record is from RNAcentral. Lineage: Eukaryota; Metazoa; Chordata; Mammalia; Primates; Hominidae.
CCUCAGGACCUUUGACCAAGGACCCAGGGAUUCACCACUCAUCCUGUUGAAUUUUGCUACUUCCCAUAGGUCUUUGAGCUUGAGGUCAGAAGCUCUUGUGCAUAAGCAGGCCUGGUGUCCAUCAACAUUCACUAUCAAAUAAGAAUGUCAGUGUGAAGGCCUUUCCCACAGAAACACCAGGUGCAGCUAAGGGAAGCCGGAGGAAGUGGGUCAUUAGCCCAGAAGAGUGAAGGAAACUGAUUCGUGAGUCAAAACGACAUUACCCACUGUUCCACUAAAGAAGAUACAGACUCGAACCCCAUUCUGCAUUUACCAAUCCACUGAUGAGUGACCAGCUCUGAAGGCUGAUGGGAAUCUUUGCCCCUUUAAACCAACCAAGAAGCUCAUUUACACAUUAAAAAAGAAAAAAAU